Molecule: long non-coding RNA, 475 nt
Filed under: Homo sapiens (human)
Lineage: Eukaryota; Metazoa; Chordata; Mammalia; Primates; Hominidae
Description: HSALNT0401690
Source: RNAcentral
UGCUGGUGGCCUCAAGCUGAAGCCAUGCAGGGACAGGAAGGGGGUUGUUCCAAGGCUACAGGGAAGGGAGUGCUGUGGAGCGAGAGUUUCUGUCCAUGGGGGCGACCCCCAUCCACUCACACUCUGGCAUUCCAUUUCCCACUUCCCAACUCUUUCUCAAUUUUCACCUCCAAUUUAUUGAGCACUUACUACAUGCAGGGCUCUGCCAAAGUACUUUACACAGAUCUGACUCCUGUUCUCCCUCUCGCAUCAUGGAAAGGGGCUCUGUCCCCUCCCCAGAUGAGCGAAGCCCUGUUACUCAGACUCCCAUUGCACCAGGAGACACAGAAAAGUACAAAGAAGAAAACUAAAAAGGUGACCCAGAGAGAACCACUCUAAGAUGUGCACGGGAAUUCAGCUCAGCUCGCGUAUUUAAAUUGAGAUCCUACUGUUGUCUGUUUUUUCAUUUUUCACGAAAAUAAAACUUGACUCAAAG